RNAcentral lists this long non-coding RNA (355 nucleotides) under Brassica rapa (field mustard). Its description in RNAcentral is "long non-coding RNA (BRAP_LNC005976)". The record is from RNAcentral. Lineage: Eukaryota; Viridiplantae; Streptophyta; Magnoliopsida; Brassicales; Brassicaceae.
UCGGGUCCACCAAACUUUUAAGGGAAAAAUUGUUUUUUAGAGCAAAAAAAUGAUAACUAUGUCCAUUUAGACUAAUCUCAUAUACUUUAUGUCCCAUUAGACUAAUUAUUUUCAAAAUGGCAAUAAUGCCCUUAAAAUUGUAAUUUUUAAAUAUAAUAAAUAAUGAAUUUGUUUUUUUUGUUUUUUUUUAAAAUUGAUUUUUUUUUUCAAAAUAUUCCCAAAUAUUUUGUUUCCAUAUUUUUAGAAACUGAUUUCUUAUCCGUAAAAUACAACUAGUCUGUAGAAAUCAGUUUCUACAGGUUUUUAGAAUUAUAGUAAUGUGUAGAUUUUGAUUUCUCCAUGUUUUAGAUUUACA